UACGUAGGGUGCGAGCGUUGUCCGGAAUUACUGGGCGUAAAGGGCUCGUAGGUGGCCAACUAAGUCAGACGUGAAAUCCCUCAGCUUAACUGGGGAACUGCGUCUGAUACUGGAUGGCUUGAGUUUGGGAGAGGGAUGCGGAAUUCCAGGUGUAGCGGUGAAAUGCGUAGAUAUCUGGAGGAACACCGGUGGCGAAGGCGGCAUCCUGGACCAAUACUGACACUGAGGAGCGAAAGCCAGGGGAGCAAACGGG
RNAcentral lists this ribosomal RNA (253 nucleotides) under uncultured bacterium. RNAcentral describes it as "partial 16S ribosomal RNA". It matches the Rfam family "Bacterial small subunit ribosomal RNA", at positions 524 to 776 of the family's 1533-position model. The record is from RNAcentral.